CAAUCCUGUGAGUAAAGUGGCGCACGGGUGAGUAACACGCGGAUCAUCUACCUUCUAGUGGGGAAUACCUCUGGGAAACCGGAGACAAUACCGCAUAAGCUCGUAAGAGGAAAGCCGAAAGGCGCUGGAAGAGGAGUCCGCGGCUGAUUAGCUAGUUGGCGGGGUAACGGCCCACCAAGGCGAAGAUCGGUAGCCGGCCUGAGAGGACGACCAGCCACACCGGAACUGAGACACGGUCCGGACUCCUACGGGAGGCAGCAGUGGGGAAUAUUGGACAAUGGGGGAAACCCUGAUCCAGCGACGCCGCGUGUGUGAAGAAGGCCUGCGGGUUGUAAAGCACUUUUAGUGGGGACAAAAAGCUACGGAUUAAUACUCUGUGGUCUUGAUUUAACCCAAAGAAAAAGCACCGGCUAACUCUGUGCCAGCAGCCGCGGUAAUACAGAGGGGUGCGA
This 452-nucleotide ribosomal RNA is filed under the name uncultured bacterium. Its description in RNAcentral is "bacterial SSU rRNA". It matches the Rfam family "Bacterial small subunit ribosomal RNA", at positions 79 to 537 of the family's 1533-position model. The record is from RNAcentral.